GACGAACGCUGGCGGCGUGCUUAACACAUGCAAGUCGAACGGAAAGGCCCUGCUUUUGUGGGGUGCUCGAGUGGCGACCGGGUGAGUAACACGUGAGUACCCUGCCCUUGACUUUGGGAUAACUUCAUGAAACUGGGGCUAAUCCCGGCUAGGAGCUCCUGCUGCAUGGUGGGGGUUGGAAAGUUUCGGCGGUUGGGGAUGGACUGGCGGCUUAUCAGCUUGUUGGUGGGGUAGUGGCUUACCAAGGCUUGGACGGGUAGCCGGCCUGAGAGGGGGACCGGAUCCACUGGGACUGAGAUACGGCACAGACCCGAAUGGGACGCAAGGGUGGAGAGGAUUGCACAAGAGGAGGGAGCAUGGCGUGGUACCGCCGCGCGGGGGAAGAGAUGCUGGGCGUAGUGUUCCGCUGCUGCCUGUGACGAGACGUUAGUGACGGUAAUGGGUAAAUAAGCACCGGCUAACUACGUG
Molecule: ribosomal RNA, 468 nt
Filed under: uncultured bacterium
Lineage: Bacteria
Description: partial 16S ribosomal RNA
Rfam family: Bacterial small subunit ribosomal RNA
Source: RNAcentral